CCCGGCUGGCGGUUCGACGUCAGUGCCCUGGUGGCCGACUUCGUGAAGCUGGAGGUGCCGCGCGUGGCCUCGCUGCAGGAGUAUGGCGUGCUGGCCGGCCGGGAGGUCGGUAUGACAACUGUGCAGGUGCUCUCCCCGCUGUCCGACUCCAUCCUGGCAGAGAAGACGGUCACCGUGCUGGACGACAAGGUUUCUGUCACAGAGCUGGCCAUCCAGCUGGUGGCCGGGCUGUCGGUCUCCCUGUACCCCUACACAGAGCACAGCCGGGCCAUCACCGCCGUGGCCACUGCUGAGGAGCUGCUGCGUACCCCCAAACAGGAAGCUGUGGUCAGCACCUGGCUGCAGUUCAGUGAUGGCUCGGUGACGCCCCUGGACAUCUACGACAGCAAGGACUUCUCCCUCGCCGCCAGCUCCCUGGACGAGGCUGUUGUGUCCGUGUCCCAGCCGCACUCUCCGCACUGGCCCAUCGUGGUGGCUGAGGGGACCGGCCAGGGCCCGCUGGUCCGCGUGGACAUGAGCAUCGCCGAGUCCUGCCAGAAAUCCAAGCGCAGAAGUGUGCUGGCUGUGGGCUUUGGUAAUGUCAGGGUCAAGUUCGGACAGAGCAAUGUGGAUGCCGGGACGGGGGCCACUGAGGAGGAGGAGGAGCAGGCAGGGGCAGAGAGCGAGAACCGCAGCAGCGACCGCAGGCAGAAGGGCCUGGAGGGGCCGCCACAGAGUGGCUCUGCUGGGGAACUCAAGGAAGGGGCUCUGUGGAGGGCCGGCUCCAGGGCCAAGGCACAGCCGGAGGGUAAGGCGGUGCAAAACAGCCACCCAUCAGGGGAUGAGCUGCCACACACCAUCCCGCUGGACUUCUCCAACUUCCCAGGGCACCUGGGCCUCCCAGGGGCUGGGGCUGGGCUGCAGGGUGGCGGCCUAGUACCCACAGCACGAGGCCUGAGUGACCUGGAGAUCGGCAUGUACGCGCUGCUGGGCGUCUUCUGCCUGGCCAUCCUUGUCUUCCUCAUCAACUGUGCCACUUUUGCCCUAAAGUUCCGGCGCAAGCAGGUGCCGCUCGAGGGCCAGGCCUCUGUAACGCACUUGCACGACUGGGUGUGGCUGGGCAAUGAGGCUGAGCUGCUGGAGAGCAUGGGGAACCCCACAUCGCCCCCCGAGGAGCACACCACAGCCAUAGACCACGGCCCGGGGCACUGCAGGGAGAGCGAGCUGCUGCUCGUGGGCAGGGCCGGUGCCCAGCAGCAGGUGCCCGGCCAGGUGCACUGGGCUGUAGGUGGCGGGGCCCAGCAGGAGCCGCACCCACUGGCCUCCCAGAGGAAGAGGGUCCAGUUCGCCACCUUCCCGGCCAUCCCAGUCCCGCCGGUGGGCGGCUCUGCCGUGGCCACCUCCAUUCUGGGGGUGCACUAAGGUGGUGUGUCCCCCAAGAGCUCAGACUCUCUGGAAAGGUGCCCAGAGCCUUGAGAACCCUCAGCGGGUCCAGGGCAGAGGCCAGGGCGGGGCCACAGCUGUGGAUGCCGGCAUGGCACCUUCAUAGGACACUUUGCAAAGCAGCAUCCUUGGAUAUCGGGUGCGGACAGAGAUGGGGUGCAGAGACGCUGUGCCCCACACAGCAAAUUAGGAGGGGCAUUUUACGAAUCAACCUGUCAUACAGCUACCAAAAAUUAUUUGUUAAAAAACACAAAAAAAGACGAAUAAAAAGAGACAAAGAAUGAUUUGUUUAUAUUUCUAAUAAAGGAGC
Molecule: long non-coding RNA, 1732 nt
Organism: Fukomys damarensis (Damara mole-rat)
Lineage: Eukaryota; Metazoa; Chordata; Mammalia; Rodentia; Bathyergidae
Source: Ensembl